UAGGGAAUAUUAGAAAUGGACGAAAGUCUGAUCUAGCAACACCGCGUGUGCGAAGAAGGCCUUCGGGUUGUAAAGCACUUUUUGAGAGGAUGAGGAAGGACGGUACUCUCAGAAUAAGUCUCGGCUAACUACGUGCCAGCAGCCGCGGUAACACGUAGGAGGCAAACGUUAUCCGGAUUUACUGGGCGUAAAGCGCGUGUAGGUGGUUUGGUAAGUAGAGCGUGAAAGCUCCUGGCUCAACUGGGAGAGGUCGUUCUAAACUGCCGGACUAGAGGAUGGUAGAGGGAGGUGGAAUUCCGGGUGUAGCGGUGGAAUGCGCAGAUAUCCGGAGGAACACCAGUGGCGAAAGCGGCCUCCUGGACCACUCCUGACACUCAGACGCGAAAGCUAAGGUAGCAAACG
Molecule: ribosomal RNA, 402 nt
Filed under: uncultured prokaryote
Description: bacterial SSU rRNA
Rfam family: Bacterial small subunit ribosomal RNA
Source: RNAcentral